Molecule: ribosomal RNA, 418 nt
Filed under: uncultured Methanothermobacter sp.
Lineage: Archaea; Methanobacteriati; Methanobacteriota; Methanobacteria; Methanobacteriales; Methanobacteriaceae
Description: bacterial SSU rRNA
Rfam family: Archaeal small subunit ribosomal RNA
Source: RNAcentral
GUGCAGCAGGCGAGAAACCUCCGCAAUGCACGCAAGUGCGACGGGGGAACCCCAAGUGCCACUCUUAACGGGGUGGCUUUUCAGAAGUGUAAAAAGCUUCUGGAAUAAGGGCUGGGCAAGACCGGUGCCAGCCGCCGCGGUAACACCGGCAGCUCAAGUGGUAGCCGCUUUUAUUGGGCCUAAAGCGUCCGUAGCCGGUCUGAUAAGUCUCUGGUGAAAUCCCACAGCUUAACUGUGGGAAUUGCUGGAGAUACUAUCAUGACUCGAGGUCGGGUGAGGCUGGAGGUACUCCCAGGGUAGGGGUGAAAUCCUGUAAUCCUGGGAGGACCACCUGUGGCGAAGGCGUCCAGCUGGAACGAACCUGACGGUGAGGGACGAAAGCCAGGGGCGCGAACCGGAUUAGAUACCCCCGUAGUCC